UUGUCCGGAAUGAUUGGGCGUAAAGGGCGCGUAGGCGGCCUGCUAAGUCUGGAGUGAAAGUCCUGCUUUCAAGGUGGGAAUUGCUUUGGAUACUGGUGGGCUGGAGUGCAGGAGAGGAAAGCGGAAUUACCGGUGUAGCGGUGAAAUGCGUAGAGAUCGGUAGGAACACCAGUGGCGAAGGCGGCUUUCUGGACUGAAACUGACGCUGAGGCGCGAAAGCGUGGGGAGCAAACAGGAUUAGAUACCCUGGUAGUCCACGCGGUAAACGAUGAAUGCUAAGUGUAGGAGGUAUCGACCCCUUCUGUGCCGCAGUAAACACAAUAAGCAUUCCGCCUGGGGAGUACGGCCGAAAGGUUGAAACUCAA
RNAcentral lists this ribosomal RNA (365 nucleotides) under uncultured bacterium. RNAcentral's name for it is "bacterial SSU rRNA". It matches the Rfam family "Bacterial small subunit ribosomal RNA", at positions 541 to 904 of the family's 1533-position model. The record is from RNAcentral.